RNAcentral lists this ribosomal RNA (496 nucleotides) under uncultured bacterium. Its description in RNAcentral is "partial 16S ribosomal RNA". It matches the Rfam family "Bacterial small subunit ribosomal RNA", at positions 29 to 507 of the family's 1533-position model. The record is from RNAcentral.
AUGAACGCUGGCGGCGUGCCUAAUACAUGCAAGUCGAGCGAACAGACGAGGAGCUUGCUCCUCUGACGUUAGCGGCGGACGGGUGAGUAACACGUGGAUAACCUACCUAUAAGACUGGGAUAACUUCGGGAAACCGGAGCUAAUACCGGAUAAUAUAUUGAACCGCAUGGUUCAAUAGUGAAAGACGGUUUUGCUGUCACUUAUAGAUGGAUCCGCGCCGCAUUAGCUAGUUGGUAAGGUAACGGCUUACCAAGGCAACGAUGCGUAUCCGACCUGAGAGGGUGAUCGGCCACACUGGAACUGAGACACGGUCCAGACUCCUACGGGAGGCAGCAGUAGGGAAUCUUCCGCAAUGGGCGAAAGCUUGACGGAGCAACGCCGCGUGAGUGAUGAAGGUCUUCGGAUCGUAAAACUCUGUUAUUAGGGAAGAACAAAUGUGUAAGUAACUAUGCACGUCUUGACGGUACCUAAUCAGAAAGCCACGGCUAACUACGUG